Molecule: transfer RNA, 77 nt
Filed under: Phrynosoma platyrhinos (Desert horned lizard)
Lineage: Eukaryota; Metazoa; Chordata; Lepidosauria; Squamata; Phrynosomatidae
Description: tRNA-OTHER
Source: RNAcentral
UUCAGUGUAGCAUAGUGGUUUGAGUUUUGGACUGUGAAUCUGGAGACCAGGGUUCAAUUAGCAGCUCAGCCAUGAAA